UUCGGCAAAAUGUACUCUUGCAA
Molecule: microRNA, 23 nt
Filed under: Ptychodera flava
Lineage: Eukaryota; Metazoa; Hemichordata; Enteropneusta; Ptychoderidae
Description: Pfl-Mir-4831_3p (mature (guide))
Source: RNAcentral